UACGUAGGAGACGAGCGUUGUCCGGAGUUACUGGGCGUAAAGGGUGCGCAGGUGGCGGCGCGCGUGGGGGGUGAAAUCGCCCGGCUUAACUGGGCGGGGGCCUUCCAGACGGCGUGGCUUGAGCAGCGGAGGGGGACGUGGAAUUCCUGGUGUAGCGGUGAAAUGCGUAGAUAUCAGGAGGAACACCGGUGGUGUAGACGGCUUUCUGGACCAUAACUGACGCUGAGACACGAAAGCGUGGGUAGCAAACAGG
RNAcentral lists this ribosomal RNA (253 nucleotides) under uncultured bacterium. RNAcentral describes it as "partial 16S ribosomal RNA". It matches the Rfam family "Bacterial small subunit ribosomal RNA", at positions 524 to 776 of the family's 1533-position model. The record is from RNAcentral.